Molecule: ribosomal RNA, 366 nt
Filed under: Triticum aestivum (bread wheat)
Lineage: Eukaryota; Viridiplantae; Streptophyta; Magnoliopsida; Poales; Poaceae
Description: partial small subunit ribosomal RNA
Source: RNAcentral
AUGAAAAUCAGUGGUUGGAAGGAAAAGCUGCUAUCAGCAGGAGGAAAGGAAAUCCUUCUCAAAUCGGUUGUACAAGCUAUCCCAACUUAUGCAAUGUCUGUCUUUAAAAUUACUAAAAACAAUUGCAAAGGAAUCAUUGACGCGAUGUCGCAUUUUUGGUGGGGUGACGAAGACAAUCAUAAGAGAAUGCAUUGGAUGGCAUGGUGGAAGGUGUGUGUACCAAAAGACCAAGGAGGAAUGGGUUUUCGAGACAUACAUUGUUUCAAUUUGGCCUUGUUAGCCAAACAAGCGUGGCGCCUGCUUGAUAAUCCCGAUUCUCUAUGUGCCACCAUUUUGAGAGCUAAAUAUUUUCCGGAUGGAGAUUAA